This 505-nucleotide ribosomal RNA is filed under the name Alternaria alternata. RNAcentral's name for it is "eukaryotic LSU rRNA". The stretch from base 143 to 296 matches the Rfam family "5.8S ribosomal RNA". Lineage: Eukaryota; Fungi; Ascomycota; Dothideomycetes; Pleosporales; Pleosporaceae. The record is from RNAcentral.
ACCUCUCGGGGUUACAGCCUUGCUGAAUUAUUCACCCUUGUCUUUUGCGUACUUCUUGUUUCCUUGGUGGGUUCGCCCACCACUAGGACAAACAUAAACCUUUUGUAAUUGCAAUCAGCGUCAGUAACAAAUUAAUAAUUACAACUUUCAACAACGGAUCUCUUGGUUCUGGCAUCGAUGAAGAACGCAGCGAAAUGCGAUAAGUAGUGUGAAUUGCAGAAUUCAGUGAAUCAUCGAAUCUUUGAACGCACAUUGCGCCCUUUGGUAUUCCAAAGGGCAUGCCUGUUCGAGCGUCAUUUGUACCCUCAAGCUUUGCUUGGUGUUGGGCGUCUUGUCUCUAGCUUUGCUGGAGACUCGCCUUAAAGUAAUUGGCAGCCGGCCUACUGGUUUCGGAGCGCAGCACAAGUCGCACUCUCUAUCAGCAAAGGUCUAGCAUCCAUUAAGCCUUUUUUCAACUUUUGACCUCGGAUCAGGUAGGGAUACCCGCUGAACUUAAGCAUAUCAA